This 253-nucleotide ribosomal RNA is filed under the name uncultured bacterium. RNAcentral's name for it is "partial 16S ribosomal RNA". It matches the Rfam family "Bacterial small subunit ribosomal RNA", at positions 524 to 776 of the family's 1533-position model. The record is from RNAcentral.
UACGUAGGGUGCAAGCGUUGUCCGGAAUUAUUGGGCGUAAAGAGCUCGUAGGCGGUUUGUCGCGUCUGCUGUGAAAACUCGGGGCUUAACCCCGGGCCUGCAGUGGGUACGGGCAGGCUAGAGUUCGGUAGGGGAGACUGGAAUUCCUGGUGUAGCGGUGAAAUGCGCAGAUAUCAGGAGGAACACCGGUGGCGAAGGCGGGUCUCUGGGCCGAUACUGACGCUGAGGAGCGAAAGCGUGGGGAGCGAUCAGG